This 155-nucleotide small nuclear RNA is filed under the name Jaculus jaculus (lesser Egyptian jerboa). RNAcentral describes it as "U1 spliceosomal RNA (ENSJJAG00000000699.1)". It matches the Rfam family "U1 spliceosomal RNA". From Rfam's summary of the family: U1 is a small nuclear RNA (snRNA) component of the spliceosome (involved in pre-mRNA splicing). Its 5' end forms complementary base pairs with the 5' splice junction, thus defining the 5' donor site of an intron. The record is from RNAcentral. Lineage: Eukaryota; Metazoa; Chordata; Mammalia; Rodentia; Dipodidae.
AUGUGUGCCUAGCAAGAGAGAUACCAUGAUCAUGAAGGUGGUUUCCCUGGACGAGGCUUAUUCAUUGCACUCCGGAUGUGCAAUGUGAUUUCCCCAAAUGCGAGAGCAUAAUUUGUGGUGGUGGUGGUAGGGGACUGUGUUUGUGCUCUCCUCUU